RNAcentral lists this ribosomal RNA (301 nucleotides) under uncultured bacterium. Its description in RNAcentral is "partial 16S ribosomal RNA". It matches the Rfam family "Bacterial small subunit ribosomal RNA", at positions 509 to 807 of the family's 1533-position model. The record is from RNAcentral.
CAGUAGCCGCGGGAAUACAGAGGGUGCAAGCGUUAAUCGGAAUUACUGGGCGUAAAGCGCGCGUAGGUGGUUUGUUAAGUUGGAUGUGAAAUCCCCGGGCUCAACCUGGGAACUGCAUCCAAAACUGGCAGGCUAAAGUAGGGCAGAGGGUGGUGGAAUUUCCUGUGUAGCGGUGAAAUGCGUAGAUAUAGGAAGGAACACCAGUGGCGAAGGCGACCACCUGGGCUCAUACUGACACUGAGGUGCGAAAGCGUGGGGAGCAAACAGGAUUAGAGACCCGAGUAGUCCCUGUCUCUUAUAC